CAGAGUCGGGGCUGAGACCAGUCCUGGCCAGGGCAGUUACCAGGACGGUCUCCGGAGGCCGGGAUUCGCGGAGGGUCCGCCAGGAGGAAGAAACCUCAGACAGAUCGCCGGGGACGCAGCGCGGGAUCCCAGCCUCAGGCGUGCACGGACGGUGUGCGGGAAGGGAGUGUAUCCUGGUGUAUGACAGCAUAUAGUAGAGACCAGUGUCAAUUAGGGCCUGUGAACUGAGACAGGGUGACUGGCUAAGUCCACAACCCAUUAGAAACCCAGAAAUAAUCAAAUCAUGAGGGAUCAUGGAAAGGAAGCUGAAUUUGCUGAGUUUUGCCACGUGGGCAUUGCAUGCCUAUGUGAUUAACCACCAAUAAAAACCUGGGACAUCAAAAAAUAAAUAAGCUGCUUUAAUUGCCAAGAAUUCACAUGUGGUUGUAUGCAGCAUUACUGGGAGAUUGAAGUGUAUCUGCAUGUGAUUCUACUGUGAUGGACACUUGUAAAUUUGUGCCUGGAGUCUCCUGGAAUUUGCCCUGAGAAUCUUUUUCCUUUGUUGAUAAGAAUCUGCAUCCUUUUGUUUUAAUAAACGAUAAACAUGAGUAUAA
This 593-nucleotide long non-coding RNA is filed under the name Homo sapiens (human). RNAcentral's name for it is "small nucleolar RNA host gene 27". The record is from RNAcentral. Lineage: Eukaryota; Metazoa; Chordata; Mammalia; Primates; Hominidae.